GAAUUUUGGAAAGUCAGCUUGGCUUUGGGUAUUCUCUUAUUAGGCUAUUCAUCUAUUGAUCUCCUGCAUACUUUAAGUAUCGCAUAUUUGCGUUUGCCAGUCAUGAGCGGGGCACACAACCAUUUUGUCUAUCAGAUACAACGGCGAACGAAAGUUAAAUAAUUCUUGCAGCAGGUCGUACGUUUAUUCAAGAUUUGUGUGGAACAACUCACUUUUAGUUAACAUGGCAUCUUUUUGAAAAAGUGGCUCGAUCUGGCAGUCGCCGGAGCUCAUCCGGAUUGAUUGACAGCUCGGAGACGAAUUUGCAUAGAAAAUUAACGAGGGACAGCCGGGCGUGGCAUGUUUUUCCAGUUAGAAUUAAAAUGCCCUCUGCUAGAGCAUAACAAGCUACUAGGUGAAUUAUUUACUGCAUAAUAAACUGGCAAGAGUAGUAAAAGUA
Drosophila virilis is the source of this 439-nucleotide long non-coding RNA. RefSeq lists it as uncharacterized. The record is from RefSeq and is a predicted model, not a curated record. Lineage: Eukaryota; Metazoa; Arthropoda; Insecta; Diptera; Drosophilidae.